CGUGUAGGCGGCUUGGCAAGUCGGAUGUGAAAGCCCUCGGCUUAACCGAGGAAGUGCGUUCGAAACUGCCUGGCUUGAGUACCGGAGAGGGUGGCGGAAUUCCCGGUGUAGAGGUGAAAUUCGUAGAUAUCGGGAGGAACACCAGCGGCGAAGGCGGCCACCUGGACGGAUACUGACGCUGAGACGCGAAAGCGUGGGGAGCAAACAGGAUUAGAUACCCUGGUAGUCCACGCUGUAAACGAUGAGCGCUAGGUGUUGCGGGUGUUGACCCCUGCAGUGCCGCAGCUAACGCAUUAAGCGCUCCGCCUGGGAAGUACGGCCGCAAGGCUAAA
RNAcentral lists this ribosomal RNA (332 nucleotides) under uncultured Anaeromyxobacter sp. RNAcentral describes it as "bacterial SSU rRNA". It matches the Rfam family "Bacterial small subunit ribosomal RNA", at positions 568 to 898 of the family's 1533-position model. Lineage: Bacteria; Pseudomonadati; Myxococcota; Myxococcia; Myxococcales; Anaeromyxobacteraceae. The record is from RNAcentral.